Molecule: ribosomal RNA, 1542 nt
Filed under: Salmonella enterica
Lineage: Bacteria; Pseudomonadati; Pseudomonadota; Gammaproteobacteria; Enterobacterales; Enterobacteriaceae
Also listed under: 9 other names
Description: bacterial SSU rRNA
Rfam family: Bacterial small subunit ribosomal RNA
Source: RNAcentral
AAAUUGAAGAGUUUGAUCAUGGCUCAGAUUGAACGCUGGCGGCAGGCCUAACACAUGCAAGUCGAACGGUAACAGGAAGCAGCUUGCUGCUUUGCUGACGAGUGGCGGACGGGUGAGUAAUGUCUGGGAAACUGCCUGAUGGAGGGGGAUAACUACUGGAAACGGUGGCUAAUACCGCAUAACGUCGCAAGACCAAAGAGGGGGACCUUCGGGCCUCUUGCCAUCAGAUGUGCCCAGAUGGGAUUAGCUUGUUGGUGAGGUAACGGCUCACCAAGGCGACGAUCCCUAGCUGGUCUGAGAGGAUGACCAGCCACACUGGAACUGAGACACGGUCCAGACUCCUACGGGAGGCAGCAGUGGGGAAUAUUGCACAAUGGGCGCAAGCCUGAUGCAGCCAUGCCGCGUGUAUGAAGAAGGCCUUCGGGUUGUAAAGUACUUUCAGCGGGGAGGAAGGUGUUGCGGUUAAUAACCGCAGCAAUUGACGUUACCCGCAGAAGAAGCACCGGCUAACUCCGUGCCAGCAGCCGCGGUAAUACGGAGGGUGCAAGCGUUAAUCGGAAUUACUGGGCGUAAAGCGCACGCAGGCGGUCUGUCAAGUCGGAUGUGAAAUCCCCGGGCUCAACCUGGGAACUGCAUUCGAAACUGGCAGGCUUGAGUCUUGUAGAGGGGGGUAGAAUUCCAGGUGUAGCGGUGAAAUGCGUAGAGAUCUGGAGGAAUACCGGUGGCGAAGGCGGCCCCCUGGACAAAGACUGACGCUCAGGUGCGAAAGCGUGGGGAGCAAACAGGAUUAGAUACCCUGGUAGUCCACGCCGUAAACGAUGUCUACUUGGAGGUUGUGCCCUUGAGGCGUGGCUUCCGGAGCUAACGCGUUAAGUAGACCGCCUGGGGAGUACGGCCGCAAGGUUAAAACUCAAAUGAAUUGACGGGGGCCCGCACAAGCGGUGGAGCAUGUGGUUUAAUUCGAUGCAACGCGAAGAACCUUACCUGGUCUUGACAUCCACGGAAGUUUUCAGAGAUGAGAAUGUGCCUUCGGGAACCGUGAGACAGGUGCUGCAUGGCUGUCGUCAGCUCGUGUUGUGAAAUGUUGGGUUAAGUCCCGCAACGAGCGCAACCCUUAUCCUUUGUUGCCAGCGAUUAGGUCGGGAACUCAAAGGAGACUGCCAGUGAUAAACUGGAGGAAGGUGGGGAUGACGUCAAGUCAUCAUGGCCCUUACGACCAGGGCUACACACGUGCUACAAUGGCGCAUACAAAGAGAAGCGACCUCGCGAGAGCAAGCGGACCUCAUAAAGUGCGUCGUAGUCCGGAUUGGAGUCUGCAACUCGACUCCAUGAAGUCGGAAUCGCUAGUAAUCGUGGAUCAGAAUGCCACGGUGAAUACGUUCCCGGGCCUUGUACACACCGCCCGUCACACCAUGGGAGUGGGUUGCAAAAGAAGUAGGUAGCUUAACCUUCGGGAGGGCGCUUACCACUUUGUGAUUCAUGACUGGGGUGAAGUCGUAACAAGGUAACCGUAGGGGAACCUGCGGUUGGAUCACCUCCUUA